Molecule: transfer RNA, 65 nt
Filed under: Habrophlebiodes zijinensis
Lineage: Eukaryota; Metazoa; Arthropoda; Insecta; Ephemeroptera; Leptophlebiidae
Description: tRNA-Tyr
Rfam family: tRNA
About the family: Transfer RNA (tRNA) molecules are approximately 80 nucleotides in length. Their secondary structure includes four short double-helical elements and three loops (D, anti-codon, and T loops).
Source: RNAcentral
GGUAAAAUGGCUGAAUUAUAGGCGAUAGAUUGUAAAUCUAUUUAUAAGGGCAUCCUUUUUUACUA